This 508-nucleotide ribosomal RNA is filed under the name uncultured Chloroflexota bacterium. RNAcentral's name for it is "bacterial SSU rRNA". It matches the Rfam family "Bacterial small subunit ribosomal RNA", at positions 355 to 878 of the family's 1533-position model. The record is from RNAcentral. Lineage: Bacteria; Bacillati; Chloroflexota.
UGAGGAAUAUUGCUCAAUGGGCGAAAGCCUGAAGCAGCAACGCCGCGUGCGCGAUGAAGGCCUUCGGGUCGUAAAGCGCUUUUGAGAGGGACGAGAUAGGACGGUACCUCUGGAAUAAGUCACGGCUAACUACGUGCCAGCAGCCGCGGUAAAACGUAGGUGGCAAGCGUUAUCCGGAUUCACUGGGCGUAAAGCGCGUGCAGGUGGCUUCGUAAGUUGGACGUUAAAUCUCCCGGCCUAACCGGGAGGAGUCGUUCAAUACUGCGGGGCUAGAGGGCAGAAGAGGGGGGUGGAAUUGCUGGUGUAGUGGUGAAAUGCGUAGAUAUCAGCAGGAACACCUGUGGCGAAAGCGGCCCCCUGGUCUGCUCCUGACACUCAGACGCGAAAGCUAGGGGAGUGAACGGGAUUAGAAACCCCGGUAAUCCUAGCCGUAAACGAUGGAUGCUAGGUGUGGGUGGUAUUGACCCCAUCCGUGCCGAAGCCAACGCGUUAAGCAUCCCGCCUGGGG